AACGAACGCUGGCGGCAUGCCUAACACAUGCAAGUCGAACGAGACCUUCGGGUCUAGUGGCGCACGGGUGCGUAACGCGUGGGAACCUGCCCUUAGGUUCGGAAUAACUCCCCGAAAGGGGUGCUAAUACCAGAUAAUGUCUUCGGACCAAAGAUUUAUCGCCUUUGGAUGGGCCCGCGUUGGAUUAGCUAGUUGGUAGGGUAAAAGCCUACCAAGGCGACGAUCCAUAGCUGGUCUGAGAGGAUGAUCAGCCACACUGGGACUGAGACACGGCCCAGACUCCUACGGGAGGCAGCAGUGGGGAAUAUUGGACAAUGGGCGAAAGCCUGAUCCAGCACUGCCGCGUGAGUGAUGAAGGCCUUAGGGUUGUAAAGCUCUUUUACCCGGGAUGAUAAUGACAGUACCGGGAGAAUAAGCUCCGGCUAACUCCGUG
Molecule: ribosomal RNA, 433 nt
Filed under: uncultured bacterium
Lineage: Bacteria
Description: partial 16S ribosomal RNA
Rfam family: Bacterial small subunit ribosomal RNA
Source: RNAcentral